GUUUUUAUAGUUUAAAAAAAACGUUAGUCUUGUAAACUAAAAUUUAAGAAAUUAUAAAAACU
This 62-nucleotide transfer RNA is filed under the name Lepidocyrtus fimetarius. RNAcentral describes it as "tRNA-Thr". The record is from RNAcentral. Lineage: Eukaryota; Metazoa; Arthropoda; Collembola; Entomobryomorpha; Entomobryidae.